This 74-nucleotide transfer RNA is filed under the name Capsicum annuum. It matches the Rfam family "tRNA". From Rfam's summary of the family: Transfer RNA (tRNA) molecules are approximately 80 nucleotides in length. Their secondary structure includes four short double-helical elements and three loops (D, anti-codon, and T loops). Lineage: Eukaryota; Viridiplantae; Streptophyta; Magnoliopsida; Solanales; Solanaceae. The record is from Rfam by way of RNAcentral.
AGAGGGGUAGAGGAAUUGGUCAACUCAUCAGGCUUAUAACCUGAAAAUUGUAGGUUCGAAUUUUUUCCUUACCU